UCCAGACUCCUACGGGAGGCAGCAGUGAGGAAUAUUGGUCAAUGGGCGCAAGCCUGAACCAGCCAAGUCGCGUGAGGGAUGACGGUCCUAUGGAUUGUAAACCUCUUUUGUCGGGGAGCAAAAGCCGGACGUGUCCGGCUGUGAGAGUACCCGAAGAAAAAGCAUCGGCUAACUCCGUGCCAGCAGCCGCGGUAAUACGGAGGAUGCGAGCGUUAUCCGGAUUUAUUGGGUUUAAAGGGUGCGUAGGCGGUCUGUUAAGUCAGCGGUAAAAUUGCGGGGCUCAACCCCGUCGAGCCGUUGAAACUGCAUCCCUUGAGUGCGCGAGAAGUAUGCGGAAUGCGUGGUGUAGCGGUGAAAUGCAUAGAUAUCACGCAGAACUCCGAUUGCGAAGGCAGCAUACCGGCGCGCAACUGACGCUCAUGCACGAAAGCGUGGGUAUCGAACAGGAUUAGAUACCCCCGUACUC
RNAcentral lists this ribosomal RNA (466 nucleotides) under uncultured bacterium. RNAcentral's name for it is "bacterial SSU rRNA". It matches the Rfam family "Bacterial small subunit ribosomal RNA", at positions 330 to 795 of the family's 1533-position model. The record is from RNAcentral.